RNAcentral lists this transfer RNA (73 nucleotides) under Fidelibacterota bacterium. Its description in RNAcentral is "tRNA-Glu". It matches the Rfam family "tRNA". From Rfam's summary of the family: Transfer RNA (tRNA) molecules are approximately 80 nucleotides in length. Their secondary structure includes four short double-helical elements and three loops (D, anti-codon, and T loops). Lineage: Bacteria; Pseudomonadati; Fidelibacterota. The record is from RNAcentral.
GGCGCAUUCGUCUAGUGGCCUAGGACGCUGGCCUCUCACGUCGGUAACAGGGGUUCAAAUCCCCUAUGCGCUA